UCUUGUCCCUGCAGGGUUCUUUCCAACCUGGACAAAGGGACCUUGAAGCUGCUGGCUGAGAAUGAGCGGCUGCUGUGCUUCUCACCAGCUCUGCAAGGCCGCCUUCGAGCUGCCUAUGAGGGCAGUGUUGCCAAGGUAGUAACCCCAGCUUAGUUGCCCACUAGCCUGGACCUAACCCUUCCUAGCUUUCAUAAAUUCAGGCAACCCUGCUGACGACACUUCAGUGUAAUGUGAGCUAACUCUGGGCAAGAAUAAGAGGGAGAAGUUUUCUCAGCAUGACCCUGCAGUUCCUAACGUUCCUGCUGUAUUUUAGGUCUCUCUGGUGAUGCCUCCCUCUACUCAAGCUGUCUCCUUUCAGCCAGAGACUGACAAUCGUGCCAACUUCUCCAGUGACCGAGCCUUUCAUACUUUUAAGAAACAGAGGGAUGUGUUUUAUGAGGUGCUGCGAGAGUGGGAAGAUCACCAUGAGGAGCCUGGCUGGGAUUUUGAGAAGGGCUUGGGCAGCAGAAUCAGGGCCAUGAUGGGUCAGCUCUCCGCAGCCUGCA
RNAcentral lists this long non-coding RNA (545 nucleotides) under Pan troglodytes (chimpanzee). Its description in RNAcentral is "long non-coding RNA NONPTRT005604". Lineage: Eukaryota; Metazoa; Chordata; Mammalia; Primates; Hominidae. The record is from RNAcentral.